AUUGAACGCUGGCGGCAUGCUUUACACAUGCAAGUCGGACGGCAGCACAGAGAAGCUUGCUUCUUGGGUGGCGAGUGGCGAACGGGUGAGUAAUAUAUCGGAACGUACCGAGUAAUGGGGGAUAACUAGUCGAAAGAUUAGCUAAUACCGCAUAUUCUCUGAGGAGGAAAGCAGGGGACCUUCGGGCCUUGCGUUAUUCGAGCGGCCGAUAUCUGAUUAGCUAGUUGGUGGGGUAAAGGCCUACCAAGGCGACGAUCAGUAGCGGGUCUGAGAGGAUGAUCCGCCACACUGGGACUGAGACACGGCCCAGACUCCUACGGGAGGCAGCAGUGGGGAAUUUUGGACAAUGGGCGCAAGCCUGAUCCAGCCAUGCCGCGUGUCUGAAGAAGGCCUUCGGGUUGUAAAGGACUUUUGUCAGGGAAGAAAAGGCUGUUGCUAAUAUCAAUAGCUGAUGACGGUACCUGAAGAAUAAGCACCGGCUAACUACGUG
Molecule: ribosomal RNA, 490 nt
Filed under: uncultured bacterium
Lineage: Bacteria
Description: partial 16S ribosomal RNA
Rfam family: Bacterial small subunit ribosomal RNA
Source: RNAcentral